CUAUCAUUACUACCAUCAAAAGCAGCGCAUAACCCAAAAAAAAUAAAAUAAAUAAAAUAAAAUAAAAUAAAAUAAAAUCAAAAUAAAAUCAAAACGAAAUUGAAGAUAAAAAAUUCAGAAACUGGGUUGCCUCCCAGCAAGCGCUCUUUUAACAUCAUUAGCUUGACCCGGUAAAGCCCAAACACCCCUCAGUAGGUGUUGAUUUUUAACGUUGG
This 215-nucleotide long non-coding RNA is filed under the name Vigna radiata. RNAcentral's name for it is "long non-coding RNA (VRAD_LNC004687)". The record is from RNAcentral. Lineage: Eukaryota; Viridiplantae; Streptophyta; Magnoliopsida; Fabales; Fabaceae.